CUAGGUAUAGCUCAGUGGUAGAGCGUGUGCUUAGCAUGCAUGAGGUCCUGGGUUCAAUCCCCAGUACCUCCA
RNAcentral lists this transfer RNA (72 nucleotides) under Camelus bactrianus (Bactrian camel). It matches the Rfam family "tRNA". From Rfam's summary of the family: Transfer RNA (tRNA) molecules are approximately 80 nucleotides in length. Their secondary structure includes four short double-helical elements and three loops (D, anti-codon, and T loops). RNAcentral also lists the same sequence under 2 other names. Lineage: Eukaryota; Metazoa; Chordata; Mammalia; Artiodactyla; Camelidae. The record is from Rfam by way of RNAcentral.